UACAGAGGUCCCAAGCGUUGUUCGGAUUCACUGGGCGUAAAGGGUGCGUAGGCGGUCGGGUAAGUCUGAUGUGAAAUCUCACAGCUUAACUGUGAAACUGCAUUGGAUACUAUCCGGCUCGAGGAAUGGAGGGGAGACUGGAAUACUUGGUGUAGCAGUGAAAUGCGUAGAUAUCAAGUGGAACACCAGUGGCGAAGGCGAGUCUCGGGACAUUUCCUGACGCUGAGGCACGAAAGCCAGGGGAGCAAACGGG
This 253-nucleotide ribosomal RNA is filed under the name uncultured bacterium. RNAcentral's name for it is "partial 16S ribosomal RNA". It matches the Rfam family "Bacterial small subunit ribosomal RNA", at positions 524 to 776 of the family's 1533-position model. The record is from RNAcentral.